Molecule: ribosomal RNA, 119 nt
Filed under: Triticum aestivum (bread wheat)
Lineage: Eukaryota; Viridiplantae; Streptophyta; Magnoliopsida; Poales; Poaceae
Source: RNAcentral
GGAUGCGAUCAUACCAGCACUAAAGCACCGGAUCCCAUCAGAACUCCGAAGUUAAGCGUGCUUGGGCGAGAGUAGUACUAGGAUGGGUGACCUCCUGGGAAGUCCUAUUGUUGCAUUUC